GGCUGCUCCUGUGGCCUAGUGGUUAGAGUGUCCACCUCGGAUGCGGGAGGUCACGGGUUCAAACCCUGGCUAAGUCA
Non-coding RNA from Potamilus streckersoni, 77 nucleotides. Lineage: Eukaryota; Metazoa; Mollusca; Bivalvia; Unionida; Unionidae. The record is from the annotation of a GenBank genome assembly.